AGAGAGAUGGCAGAGUGGUUUAAUGCAUCUAACUUGAAAUUAGACAAAGAAAUUUUCGUGGGUUCAAAUCCCAUUCUCUCUU
Molecule: transfer RNA, 82 nt
Filed under: Neospora caninum
Lineage: Eukaryota; Apicomplexa; Conoidasida; Eucoccidiorida; Sarcocystidae
Description: tRNA-Ser
Rfam family: tRNA
About the family: Transfer RNA (tRNA) molecules are approximately 80 nucleotides in length. Their secondary structure includes four short double-helical elements and three loops (D, anti-codon, and T loops).
Source: RNAcentral